RNAcentral lists this ribosomal RNA (394 nucleotides) under uncultured bacterium. RNAcentral's name for it is "bacterial SSU rRNA". It matches the Rfam family "Bacterial small subunit ribosomal RNA", at positions 28 to 416 of the family's 1533-position model. The record is from RNAcentral.
GACGAACGCUGGCGGCGUGCCUAACACAUGCAAGUCGAACGAGAUCCAUGGGAGCUUGCUCCCGGAAGAUCUAGUGGCGAACGGGUGAGUAACACGUGAGAAACCUGCCCUGGAGUGGGGAAUAACUCGGGGAAACUCGAGCUAAUACCGCAUACCCUCGGAUGGUCGCAUGGCCGACCGAGGAAAGAUUUAUCGCUCUAGGAGGGUCUCGCGGCCUAUCAGCUAGUUGGUGGGGUAACGGCCUACCAAGGCAACGACGGGUAGCUGGUUUGAGAGAACGAUCAGCCACACUGGGACUGAGACACGGCCCAGACUCCUACGGGAGGCAGCAGUGGGGAAUCUUGCGCAAUGGGCGAAAGCCUGACGCAGCAACGCCGCGUGCGGGAUGACGGCC